Molecule: unclassified non-coding RNA, 571 nt
Filed under: Hevea brasiliensis (rubber tree)
Lineage: Eukaryota; Viridiplantae; Streptophyta; Magnoliopsida; Malpighiales; Euphorbiaceae
Source: RNAcentral
CAGGAGGAGGCCAGGUCAAAGCCGAAUUACCACACCAAGAAAAGAGACUGAUACUUGCAAAAUAUCAUCAGGCACUGCUGAUGGUUUGACUACGGGAUCUCCAAUCAAAGUUGAAGUACCCAACACUGACCAGAGAGGAAAUGACUAUAGUGAAAUGUCCCUUGCUUAUAGGCCAUCUCAUGCUGAUGCAACUUAUGACUUCAAGUAUGGAGUUAGAUCAGUACAGGGGGGAGGUAGAUCCUCAGCAAGAGAAACCAUCGGGAGAGUCGCUGCUGGAGCUGUUGCCAAGAAAAUUCUCAAACUUUAUUCAGGAACUGAGAUCCUUGCUUAUGUUUCACAAGUUCACAAUGUUGUACUUCCAGAGGAUUUAGUUGAUAACCAGAUUGUGACACUAGAGCAGAUUGAAAGCAAUAUUGUUCGUUGCCCGAACCCUGAAUAUGCAGAAAAGAUGAUUGGUGCCAUUGAUUAUGUACGAGUGAGGGGGGAUUCUGUUGGUGGUGUCGUAACUUGCAUUGUUAGAAAUGUUCCACGAGGUCUUGGUACACCAGUCUUUGAUAAACUUGAAGCUGAG